GCCUGAGUGGCGGAACUGGCAUACGCGCACGACUCAAAAUCGUGUGGAGCAAUCCUUGUGGGUUCGACUCCCACCUCAGGCA
This 82-nucleotide transfer RNA is filed under the name Candidatus Niyogibacteria bacterium CG10_big_fil_rev_8_21_14_0_10_46_36. Its description in RNAcentral is "tRNA-Leu". It matches the Rfam family "tRNA". Rfam says of the family: Transfer RNA (tRNA) molecules are approximately 80 nucleotides in length. Their secondary structure includes four short double-helical elements and three loops (D, anti-codon, and T loops). Further hydrogen bonds mediate the characteristic L-shaped molecular structure. tRNAs have two regions of fundamental functional importance: the anti-codon, which is responsible for specific mRNA codon recognition, and the 3' end, to which the tRNAs corresponding amino acid is attached (by aminoacyl-tRNA synthetases). tRNAs cope with the degeneracy of the genetic code in two manners: having more than one tRNA (with a specific anti-codon) for a particular amino acid; and 'wobble' base-pairing, i.e. permitting non-standard base-pairing at the 3rd anti-codon position. The record is from RNAcentral. Lineage: Bacteria; Candidatus Niyogiibacteriota.